Molecule: ribosomal RNA, 523 nt
Filed under: Xesturida laevis
Lineage: Eukaryota; Metazoa; Arthropoda; Insecta; Coleoptera; Staphylinidae
Description: partial 16S ribosomal RNA
Rfam family: Bacterial large subunit ribosomal RNA (bases 396-523)
Source: RNAcentral
GUCUUUUUGAUUAUAAUAAAAAGUCUAACCUGCCCACUGAUUUAUUGAAUGGCCGCAGUAUUUUGACUGUGCAAAGGUAGCAUAAUCAUUAGUUUCUUAAUUAGAAGCUGGAAUGAAAGGUUGAACGAGAAAAUAACUGUCUCUUUAUAAAUUAUUUAGAAAUUUAUUUUUAAGUUAAAAAGCUUAAAUGUAAUUAGAAGACGAGAAGACCCUUUAGAGUUUUAUAUAAAAUUUAUAAUUAAAAUUUUAAUUUGAAUUAUCAAUAUUUUUAAUUUAUUUUAUAUUUUAUUGGGGUGAUAGAAAAAUUUAAUUAACUUUUUUUUUUUAUUAACAUUUAUUUAUGGUAGUUUUGAUCCAUAGUUUAAAUUAUGAUUAAAAGAUUAAAUUACCUAAGGGAUAACAGCGUAAUUUUUUUUGAGAGUUCUAAUCGAUAAGAAAGUUUGCGACCUCGAUGUUGGAUUAAAAUUAAAUUUUGGUGUAGAAGCUAAAUGUUUUAGGUCUGUUCGACCUUUAAAAUUUUACA